AGGUAAGCUACUAAGAGCGAAUGGUGGAUGCCUUGACUGGUAAAGGCGAUGAAGGACGUACUAGACUGCGAUAAGCUACGGGGAGCUGUCAAGAAGCUUUGAUCCGUAGAUUUCCGAAUGGGUCAACCCAAUGUAUAGAGAUAUACAUUACCUAUAUAGGAGCGAACGAGGGGAAUUGAAACAUCUUAGUACCCUCAGGAAAAGAAAUCAAUAGAGAUUGCGUCAGUAGCGGCGAGCGAAAGCGCAAGAGGGCAAACCCAGUGCUUGCACUGGGGGUUGUAGGACUGCAAUGUGCAAGAGGUAAGUUUAGCAGAACAUUCUGGAAAGUAUAACCAUAGAGGGUGAUAGUCCCGUAUGCGAAAAACAAACCUUAGCUAGCAGUAUCCUGAGUAGGGCGGGACACGAGGAAUCCUGUCUGAAUCCGGGUCGACCACGAUCCAACCCUAAAUACUAAUACCAGAUCGAUAGUGCACAAGUACCGUGAGGGAAAGGUGAAAAGAACUGAGGUGAUCAGAGUGAAAUAGAACCUGAAACCAUUUGCUUACAAUCAUUCAGAGCCCUAUGUAGCAAUACAGGGUGAUGGACUGCCUUUUGCAUAAUGAGCCUGCGAGUUGUGGUGUCUGGCAAGGUUAAGCAAACGCGAAGCCGUAGCGAAAGCGAGUCUGAAUAGGGCGCUUAGUCAGAUGCUGCAGACCCGAAACGAAGUGAUCUAUCCAUGAGCAAGUUGAAGCUAGUGUAAGAACUAGUGGAGGACUGAACCCAUAGGCGUUGAAAAGCCCCGGGAUGACUUGUGGAUAGGGGUGAAAGGCCAAUCAAACUUCGUGAUAGCUGGUUCUCUCCGAAAUAUAUUUAGGUAUAGCGUUGUGUCGUAAUAUAAGGGGGUAGAGCACUGAAUGGGCUAGGGCAUACACCAAUGUACCAAACCCUAUCAAACUCCGAAUACCUUAUAUGUAAUCACAGCAGUCAGGCGGCGAGUGAUAAAAUCCGUCGUCAAGAGGGAAACAACCCAGACUACCAGCUAAGGUCCCUAAAUCUUACUUAAGUGGAAAACGAUGUGAAGUUACUUAAACAACCAGGAGGUUGGCUUAGAAGCAGCCAUCCUUUAAAGAAAGCGUAAUAGCUCACUGGUCUAGUGAUUUUGCGCGGAAAAUAUAACGGGGCUAAAGUAAGUACCGAAGCUGUAGACUUAGUUUACUAAGUGGUAGGAGAGCGUUCUAUUUGCGUCGAAGGUAUACCGGUAAGGAGUGCUGGAGCGAAUAGAAGUGAGCAUGCAGGCAUGAGUAGCGAUAAUUAAUGUGAGAAUCAUUAACGCCGUAAACCCAAGGUUUCCUACGCGAUGCUCGUCAUCGUAGGGUUAGUCGGGUCCUAAGUCGAGUCCGAAAGGGGUAGACGAUGGCAAAUUGGUUAAUAUUCCAAUACCAACAUUAGUGUGCGAUGGAAGGACGCUUAGGGCUAAGGGGGCUAGCGGAUGGAAGUGCUAGUCUAAGGUCGUAGGAGGUUGUACAGGCAAAUCCGUAUAACAAUACUCCGAGAACUGAAAGGCUUUUUGAAGUCUUCGGAUGGAUAGAAGAACCCCUGAUGCCGUCGAGCCAAGAAAAGUUUCUAAGUUUAGCUAAUGUUGCCCGUACCGUAAACCGACACAGGUGGGUGGGAUGAGUAUUCUAAGGCGCGUGGAAGAACUCUCUUUAAGGAACUCUGCAAAAUAGCACCGUAUCUUCGGUAUAAGGUGUGGUUAGCUUUGUAUUAGGAUUUACUCCGAAAGCAAGGAAACUUACAACAAAGAGUCCCUCCCGACUGUUUACCAAAAACACAGCACUCUGCUAACUCGUAAGAGGAUGUAUAGGGUGUGACGCCUGCCCGGUGCUCGAAGGUUAAUUGAUGGGGUUAGCAUUAGCGAAGCUCUUGAUCGAAGCCCGAGUAAACGGCGGCCGUAACUAUAACGGUCCUAAGGUAGCGAAAUUCCUUGUCGGUUAAAUACCGACCUGCAUGAAUGGCGUAACGAGAUGGGAGCUGUCUCAAAGAGGGAUCCAGUGAAAUUGUAGUGGAGGUGAAAAUUCCUCCUACCCGCGGCAAGACGGAAAGACCCCGUGGACCUUUACUACAGCUUGACACUGCUACUUGGAUAAGAAUGUGCAGGAUAGGUGGGAGGCUUUGAGUAUAUGACGCCAGUUGUAUAUGAGCCAUUGUUGAGAUACCACUCUUUCUUAUUUGGGUAGCUAACCAGCUUGAGUUAUCCUCAAGUGGGACAAUGUCUGGUGGGUAGUUUGACUGGGGCGGUCGCCUCCCAAAUAAUAACGGAGGCUUACAAAGGUUGGCUCAGAA
This 2322-nucleotide ribosomal RNA is filed under the name Campylobacter jejuni. RNAcentral describes it as "partial 23S ribosomal RNA". It matches the Rfam family "Bacterial large subunit ribosomal RNA", at positions 1 to 2327 of the family's 2925-position model. The record is from RNAcentral. Lineage: Bacteria; Pseudomonadati; Campylobacterota; Epsilonproteobacteria; Campylobacterales; Campylobacteraceae.